This 73-nucleotide transfer RNA is filed under the name Canis lupus familiaris (dog). It matches the Rfam family "tRNA". From Rfam's summary of the family: Transfer RNA (tRNA) molecules are approximately 80 nucleotides in length. Their secondary structure includes four short double-helical elements and three loops (D, anti-codon, and T loops). RNAcentral also lists the same sequence under 1 other name. The record is from Rfam by way of RNAcentral. Lineage: Eukaryota; Metazoa; Chordata; Mammalia; Carnivora; Canidae.
ACCUGGCUGGCUCAGUCGGUGGGGCAAGCGACUCCUGAUCUCAGGGUUGUGGGUUCAAGCCCCGUGUUGGGUG